This is a non-coding RNA of Mus musculus (house mouse), 69 nucleotides long. NCBI's taxonomy places the organism in Eukaryota, Metazoa, Chordata, Mammalia, Rodentia, Muridae. The record is from Rfam.
GGGAAUGUAGCUCAGUGGGAGAGCAUUUGUUUAUUAAACCUAAGACCCUGGGUCCAAAUUCUAGCACCA